UACCCCAAAGGCAGGAGUUACGGCUGC
This 27-nucleotide non-coding RNA is filed under the name Homo sapiens (human). The record is from RNAcentral. Lineage: Eukaryota; Metazoa; Chordata; Mammalia; Primates; Hominidae.